CUUUCCUUGAUCCCCUGGAAGGAAUGCAUUCAGGACAAAUAAUAUGAGGGUACCAGUUAGCAAUUGAAUGUGACAAGUUAUGACACACAUGGAAGAAACUGUUUAGUCUUCUGGUAUUUUCUGUAACCAUGCCGCUCAAGUUAUGCUGUGCAGGAAGGAAGAGAAACAAAUUUCACCAGGACUGUCCAGCUAUCCUGUUCCUUGCAUGAUCCCUGCUCAGUCUGUGACUGCUAAGUGGCUAAAUCUACAGGAGUUCUAAAGGAGACAGCACCAAAGAGGGGUAAGAUCUGAAGACAUUUGUUUCUCACUGGGACCUGGGGGCAAUCACCACCACUUGACUGAUUGGCUAAUACAGCCUGUGCUGCCUCAUGUCACCAUGCAAGAUGGCUGCUGUGUCACACCCCAGAGGUGGCUGCAUUUCUGUGUGACAGUUCUCUGUCAAACAGCUGCCCCAUUCCACUCCAGAGCUCCAGGUCAGUGCUGAGUUAGGCCAUAUUUUAAGGAUUCCUAUAAAGCAUUUUGGAAUUAGAGGCAUUUCAGUGGGAAAGAUAUUCUCC
This is a long non-coding RNA of Mauremys mutica (yellowpond turtle), 557 nucleotides long. RefSeq lists it as uncharacterized. Lineage: Eukaryota; Metazoa; Chordata; Testudines; Geoemydidae. The record is from RefSeq and is a predicted model, not a curated record. The transcript is spliced from 6 exons.